AAAGAUCUUGUAUUCCUUCAUUAGAAUUGAAUGGCACUCCUUCUAUGACUUUGGACUAGACUCACAAGCAAAAAAAUAAUUCUACUUUCCUUGAGAACAAUAGUGGGCAGAUGCCAACCGAAGUGCUCAUCAAAGAUAAGACUCUGCCUAUCCUUCUCAUUAAUGAAGUUGUAGAUGUCAAUGGUGACACUAUCUUGAAGGAAGGUUAUGUAGAUCAAGACCAAUACUAGAAGCACAAGAGAAAGAAGGCAAAAGACCAACAUAGAGAGUUUGUUGAUUUGGUCGUUACUAUCAUAGAUAAUGAGCCAUUUUCUGUUAAUGAACCUAGCUCUAUUUUUCCAUUGCCUGAACUCGU
This 355-nucleotide long non-coding RNA is filed under the name Capsicum annuum. RNAcentral's name for it is "long non-coding RNA (CANN_LNC006445)". The record is from RNAcentral. Lineage: Eukaryota; Viridiplantae; Streptophyta; Magnoliopsida; Solanales; Solanaceae.